UCGGGAAUUUUGGGCAAUGGGCGAAAGCCUGACCCAGCAACGCCGCGUGAGGGAUGAAGUAUUUCGGUAUGUAAACCUCGAAAGAAUGGGAAGAAUAAAUGACGGUACCAUUUAUAAGCUCCGGCUAACUACGUGCCAGCAGCCGCGGUAAUACGUAGGGGGCAAGCGUUGUCCGGAUUUACUGGGUGUAAAGGGCGCGAAGGCGGGAUAAAAAGUCAGUGGUGAAAUCCUACAGCUUAACUGUAGAACUGCCUUUGAUACUUUUAUUCUUGAGUUCGGGAGAGAGAGACGGAAUUCCAGGUGUAGUGGUGAAAUACGUAGAUAUCUGGAAGAACACCAGUUGCGAAGGCGGUCUCUUGGUCCGACACUGACGCUGAGGCGCGAAAGCGUGGGGAGCAAACA
This 402-nucleotide ribosomal RNA is filed under the name uncultured bacterium. RNAcentral describes it as "bacterial SSU rRNA". It matches the Rfam family "Bacterial small subunit ribosomal RNA", at positions 355 to 774 of the family's 1533-position model. The record is from RNAcentral.